ACACACACACGCGGCAUCUAGCGCUUGAGGGUACAAGCAGAAAGGAAACAAACCCCGAAGAGGAAGGUGGAAAGCAGCACAAAACUCAUGCAUGACUGUACACUUCCCACCUUGUCUUUGCAGACGUACUCCGGCUCUGCUACCUGUGGGAUACGAAUCUGGGAGUGAGUCUAGUCGCGGACAUACGCAUACGCGUACGCAGGCUGACUCAUCAACACACUCGUGGAAGAGUGCAGCGUCGGAAGUUCUGCUUCCACUUUUACUUGGUCUCCGAUUUCCUAUUGGAUCGCCUCCUCUCUGUCCUUCUCUCUGCAGUACUUGUGGGUUUCCUGGCCGGCGGGGAACGAGUAAUACAUGCGCUAGGCUCUGUAUUAGCUGCUGCGAGGGAUGCUUGUUCAGGCGGCGGGGCGGGACCAUCCACACGUGCUUGCGUGCCGAGCCUUUUGUUGUCCCUUGCGUGGUGGCAUCUGCGCUGACGUGGGGGCUUCCUAAUGCCGCUCUCACGGCUGGUGCGGGGUCACUUCAUCUCGCUUCUUCAUUUUUUGGAGCUCCACUCAGCAACGCUGACGGUGCUCGCACGCGGGACGCUGUCGUACGUCGCUGUCUAGUGGCAGCUGCCCACACCUGUGGCGCACCUGGCCCGGCGAACGGGGCACGCGCCGGGGCGCGACUUGCAGUUUUGGGGUAGAUGUGUGAGACGAAAGGAAGAGGGAUGGUGACAGUGAGACACCGUUGAAGGACGGCACGCGCGGCGCUGUGGUUCACCGCAACCUCAAAUCCGAGCUGAUCACGGCGGUGGAGCUGCAUCCCUCGACAUUGGUAGCAGCGCCUUGUGACCCGCGUACACGGCUGGACAGAAACGUGCGUGAGCGGAGACCCAAGGUGCCGCUGGAGGAUGUGCUGUGUGCGCCGCUCAACUGCUCUUCGGUGUGCAAGGUCUUCUGCGCAGCGAUGGACCACGAAGAGUACCACCUGUGGCCGCUGGACGACUCGCUGCUGAACACGCACACCGCUCUCGCUCGGGGCGAGGCAGUGGCGUGUGCACCUCACACUGGAAGCGCGAGUGCGAGGAUGGCCGACACCCCGAGGGCUGCGUCGCAGAGGCGGGGAGGCAGGCUAGCGAUGUGCUUAUUCGUGUGUUUGACGGCGCCAGUCGACAGGAGAGCUGUGCCGCUCUUUGCCCAAGUUCACGGGUUCCCUGAUCGAGCUCCAUCACAUGAGCACCUCUGCUCACACAGCAGCAGCGGCGAAGGGGGCCGCGACACUUCGGGACGGGGGGGGUGAAGACCACAGCCAACCUUGUGCCGUUCCUCGCUGGGAUCUCAGCCACUUCCAUUGGCCUCAGCACCAAGGUCAAGUUCCCGAACGUGUCCUUCGUGAACAGUAGCGUGCCUACGCUGGCAAAGCACAUGUACGGGGAUGAUCUGAGAGCCCCCCUUCACCUCGGCCUGCUGCCACAGCGUUUUCGAGUAUCUGAUGCACCACACGGGUACCUAACAGCGGCGCGGGUGGGCGGGUGACGGGUGUGGACCGCUAUUUCUAAAUGCUCUUCUGGCAGCGGGGGCACUCCGAGCUGUCAGGUAACUCUCGCGGCCCUUGCAACAUCGUGUCUCACUACAUGGCAGGCGAGGCGGUGUGUGAGCACGCAUUGGACAACACGGAGCGCUUGCUUGCAAAACAGCUCAGCGGCUGCCGCCGCGCAUGCACCGGCGCGUCGCUUCGGGCCCGCCAAGGAUAGCGAUUGCGGCGCCGCACCGGGGAAGAGGGAGGGGACAGCUACAGAAAGGACUGCUUCAAAGUAUUGCGCAUGACCGGGAGCCACGCGGGCACGCACGGCGCCAUGGUGCCUCUCUCCGACACCUUGACCCUCUUCUUCAAUGACCUGCGCGUGAAGCUGCGCUUCUUCGAGGACCCGCUCAACACACUCAUCGUACUUCCGGGCCACGGAAACCACAUGGGACACCACUACAAGUAUACCCACGCUGGAAAAUGUGAGCGGGUCGCCGCGCCGUCGCCAUGGCGGUGACACCAGAGGUCUUGCACCGUAUCGGUAACUUCAAGAGCCGUUCUGCCAGGAUUUCUCUGUUGAGCUUUCAGUGCUGGUCGAAGCAACUAUCGACAUCGUUGGAUGUAUGCACAGCCCUGGUAGGCCUGUGCAAUGCGAGCUUGGCGGUAUACGCG
This 2181-nucleotide unclassified non-coding RNA is filed under the name Leishmania donovani. RNAcentral describes it as "gene:unknown". The record is from RNAcentral. Lineage: Eukaryota; Euglenozoa; Kinetoplastea; Trypanosomatida; Trypanosomatidae.